Molecule: unclassified non-coding RNA, 237 nt
Filed under: uncultured Pluteus
Lineage: Eukaryota; Fungi; Basidiomycota; Agaricomycetes; Agaricales; Pluteaceae
Description: sequence contains ITS1
Source: RNAcentral
GUGAAUAAACUUGUGUGGGUUGUUGCUGGCCUCCUCGGAGGUAUGUGCACACCUGCCAUUGUUUCAUUCCCCUUCCACCUGUGCACUUCUUGUAGACCAGCUGUCGCUUUUCGGGUUGCUUGCAUCCCGGUUAUAAGGAUCUGCUCCGGCUGUCCUUGUCGUUGGCGGUCUAUGUCUUUUAUCAACUCUGCAUGUAACCGAAUGUUUGUUCUGGGUUCUAUACCCAUAAAAUCUAUA